Molecule: ribosomal RNA, 1491 nt
Filed under: Nostoc cf. edaphicum LEGE 07299
Lineage: Bacteria; Bacillati; Cyanobacteriota; Cyanophyceae; Nostocales; Nostocaceae
Description: bacterial SSU rRNA
Rfam family: Bacterial small subunit ribosomal RNA
Source: RNAcentral
AAAACGGAGAGUUUGAUCCUGGCUCAGGAUGAACGCUGGCGGUAUGCUUAACACAUGCAAGUCGAACGGUGCUUUAGGGCACAGUGGCGGACGGGUGAGUAACGCGUGAGAAUCUGGCUUCAGGUCUGGGACAACCACUGGAAACGGUGGCUAAUACCGGAUGUGCCCUUCGGGGUGAAAGAUUAAUUGCCUGAAGAUGAGCUCGCGUCUGAUUAGCUAGUUGGAAGUGUAAUGGACUCCCAAGGCGACGAUCAGUAGCUGGUCUGAGAGGACGAUCAGCCACACUGGGACUGAGACACGGCCCAGACUCCUACGGGAGGCAGCAGUGGGGAAUUUUCCGCAAUGGGCGAAAGCCUGACGGAGCAAUACCGCGUGAGGGAGGAAGGCUCUUGGGUCGUAAACCUCUUUUCUCAGGGAAGAACACAAUGACGGUACCUGAGGAAUAAGCAUCGGCUAACUCCGUGCCAGCAGCCGCGGUAAUACGGAGGAUGCAAGCGUUAUCCGGAAUGAUUGGGCGUAAAGCGUCCGCAGGUGGCAAUGUAAGUCUGCUGUUAAAGAGUCUAGCUCAACUAGAUACAAGCAGUGGAAACUACAUAGCUAGAGUACGUUCGGGGCAGAGGGAAUUCCUGGUGUAGCGGUGAAAUGCGUAGAGAUCAGGAAGAACACCAGUGGCGAAGGCGCUCUGCUAGGCCGUAACUGACACUGAGGGACGAAAGCUAGGGGAGCGAAUGGGAUUAGAUACCCCAGUAGUCCUAGCCGUAAACGAUGGAUACUAGGCGUGGCUUGUAUCGACCCGAGCCGUGCCGUAGCUAACGCGUUAAGUAUCCCGCCUGGGGAGUACGCCGGCAACGGUGAAACUCAAAGGAAUUGACGGGGGCCCGCACAAGCGGUGGAGUAUGUGGUUUAAUUCGAUGCAACGCGAAGAACCUUACCAAGGCUUGACAUGUCGCGAAUCUUCUCGAAAGGGAAGAGUGCCUUCGGGAGCGCGAACACAGGUGGUGCAUGGCUGUCGUCAGCUCGUGUCGUGAGAUGUUGGGUUAAGUCCCGCAACGAGCGCAACCCUCGUUUUUAGUUGCCAGCAUUAAGUUGGGCACUCUAGAGAGACUGCCGGUGACAAACCGGAGGAAGGUGGGGAUGACGUCAAGUCAGCAUGCCCCUUACGCCUUGGGCUACACACGUACUACAAUGCUCCGGACAGAGGGCAGCAAGCAUGCGAAUGCAAGCAAAUCCCGUAAACCGGAGCUCAGUUCAGAUCGCAGGCUGCAACUCGCCUGCGUGAAGGAGGAAUCGCUAGUAAUUGCAGGUCAGCAUACUGCAGUGAAUUCGUUCCCGGGCCUUGUACACACCGCCCGUCACACCAUGGAAGCUGGUAGUGCCCGAAGUCAUUACUCCAACCUUUCGGGGAGGAGGAUGCCUAAGGCAGGACUGGUGACUGGGGUGAAGUCGUAACAAGGUAGCCGUACCGGAAGGUGUGGCUGGAUCACCUCCUUU